Molecule: ribosomal RNA, 492 nt
Filed under: uncultured bacterium
Lineage: Bacteria
Description: partial 16S ribosomal RNA
Rfam family: Bacterial small subunit ribosomal RNA
Source: RNAcentral
AGCGAACGCUGGCGGUAGGCCUAACACAUGCAAGUCGAACGGCAGCACAGUAAGAGCUUGCUCUUACGGGUGGCGAGUGGCGGACGGGUGAGGAAUGCAUCGGAAUCUACUUUUUCGUGGGGGAUAACGUAGGGAAACUUACGCUAAUACCGCAUACGACCUACGGGUGAAAGCAGGGGAUCUUCGGACCUUGCGCGAUUGAAUGAGCCGAUGUCGGAUUAGCUAGUUGGCGGGGUAAAGGCCCACCAAGGCGACGAUCCGUAGCUGGUCUGAGAGGAUGAUCAGCCACACUGGAACUGAGACACGGUCCAGACUCCUACGGGAGGCAGCAGUGGGGAAUAUUGGACAAUGGGCGCAAGCCUGAUCCAGCCAUACCGCGUGGGUGAAGAAGGCCUUCGGGUUGUAAAGCCCUUUUGUUGGGAAAGAAAUCCAGCCGGCUAAUACCUGGUUGGGAUGACGGUACCCAAAGAAUAAGCACCGGCUAACUUCGUG